Molecule: non-coding RNA, 88 nt
Organism: Mycena leptocephala
Lineage: Eukaryota; Fungi; Basidiomycota; Agaricomycetes; Agaricales; Mycenaceae
Source: the annotation of a GenBank genome assembly
GUCCCUGUGGAUCAAGGAAGAUCGCUCAAUUUAUAUGGGUUUUGUUGAAAUUCUUGGAGAGACGGGUGUUCGAACCGCCCCAGGGACA